This 1111-nucleotide ribosomal RNA is filed under the name uncultured organism. Its description in RNAcentral is "bacterial SSU rRNA". It matches the Rfam family "Bacterial small subunit ribosomal RNA", at positions 233 to 1342 of the family's 1533-position model. The record is from RNAcentral.
GCCCCCGAUUAGCUUGUUGGUAGGGUAACGGCCUACCAAGGCUCCGAUCGGUAGGUGGCCUGAGAGGGUGGUCACUCACACUGGGACUGAGAUACGGCCCAGACUCCUACGGGGGGCAGCAGUCUAGAAGCUUCCACAAUGGACGAAAGUCUGAUGGAGCGACGCCGCGUGUGGGAUGACAGCCGUGAGGUUGUAAACCACUGUCAGCAGGGAAGAAUGCCUUGAUGGUGAAUCAGGGAGAGACGGUACCUGCAGAGGAAGCCCCGGCUAACUCCGUGCCAGCAGCCGCGGUAAUACGGAGGGGGCAAACGUUGUUCGGAUUUACUGGGCGUAAAGGGUGUCUAGGCGGUUCGAUUAGUCUGGUGUGAAAUAUCCUCGCUCAACGAGGAAGACGCAUUGGAAACUGUCGAGCUCGAGAGUGGAAGAGGCAGGUGGAAUUCCUGGUGUAGCGGUGGAAUGCGUAGAUAUCAGGAAGAACACUCGUGGCGAAGGCGGCCUGCUGGUCCAUUUCUGACGCUGAAGCACGAAAGCCAGGGGAGCGAACGGGAUUAGAUACCCCGGUAGUCCUGGCCGUAAACGUUGAACACUGGAUGUCGGGGGUAUCGACCCCCUCGGUGUCGGAGCUAACGCGUUAAGUGUUCCGCCUGGGGAGUACGACCGCAAGGUUGAAACUCAAAGGAAUUGACGGGGGCCCGCACAAGCGGUGGAGGAUGUGGUUUAAUUCGACGCAACGCGAAGAACCUUACCUGGGCUUAAACCGCAGGGUAAACCCUCUGAAAGGAGGGCUGCUUCGGCAAUCCUGUAGAGGUGCUGCAUGGCUGUCGUCAGCUCGUGUCGUGAGAUGUUGGGUUAAGUCCCGCAACGAGCGCAACCCUUGCUCUUAGUUACCAGCGCGUAAUGGCGGGGACUCUAAGAGGACUGCCCUCGCAAGGGGGAGGAAGGUGGGGAUGACGUCAAGUCCUCAUGGCCCUUAUGUCCAGGGCUACACACGUCCUACAAUGGCCGGUACAAAGGGCUGCAAGCUCGCGAGAGUUAGCUAAUCCCAAAAAGCCGGUCCCAGUUCGGAUUGCAGUCUGCAACUCGACUGCAUGAAGGUGGAAUCGCUAGUAAU